Molecule: ribosomal RNA, 430 nt
Filed under: Pseudomonadota bacterium
Lineage: Bacteria; Pseudomonadati; Pseudomonadota
Description: Proteobacteria bacterium partial 16S ribosomal RNA
Rfam family: Bacterial small subunit ribosomal RNA
Source: RNAcentral
UGGGGAAUAUUGGACAAUGGGGGGAACCCUGAUCCAGCCAUGCCGCGUGUGUGAAGAAGGCCUUAUGGUUGUAAAGCACUUUAAGCGAGGAGGAGGGUACUGGUAUUAAUACUACCAGGUACUGGACGUUACUCGCAGAAUAAGCACCGGCUAACUCUGUGCCAGCAGCCGCGGUAAUACAGAGGGUGCAAGCGUUAAUCGGAAUUACUGGGCGUAAAGCGCGCGUAGGUGGUUCGUUAAGUUGAAUGUGAAAGCCCCAGGCUCAACCUGGGAACUGCAUCCAAAACUGGCGAGCUAGAGUAGGGCAGAGGGUGGUGGAAUUUCCUGUGUAGCGGUGAAAUGCGUAGAUAUAGGAAGGAACACCAGUGGCGAAGGCGACCACCUGGGCUCAUACUGACACUGAGGUGCGAAAGCGUGGGGAGCAAACAGG